This 306-nucleotide long non-coding RNA is filed under the name Elaeis guineensis (African oil palm). RNAcentral describes it as "long non-coding RNA (EGUI_LNC011814)". Lineage: Eukaryota; Viridiplantae; Streptophyta; Magnoliopsida; Arecales; Arecaceae. The record is from RNAcentral.
UGGAGCAGAUGCUUUUCUUUCAAGUGAUCUGGAAUAGAUCGAUUAAGAACGAUCUAGAAUUGAUCAUCCGAGGCCGAAGAGUUGAGAAUUAUUACUGACGGGGUGUCCACCAGCCUCUGUCAUAUCGGCAUUUCUAUCGGACGUCCAUCUUCUAUAGUUCGAUGGGAUGUCACAGUCGAGAUCGAGGUACAGAUCCAUAAUAGAAAACAUAAAUUUCACGUAGGAUUUUAUAAAGUUUUUAUCCACCAAUAUUAACUUUUGACAUUUGGAGCUAUUUUAGAUGCAUGAACUAUUGACGGACAUGGA